GACGAACGCUGGCGGCGUGCUUAACACAUGCAAGUCGAACGGAAAGGCCCUGCUUGCAGGGUACUCGAGUGGCGAACGGGUGAGUAACACGUGGGUGAUCUGCCCUGCACUUCGGGAUAAGCCUGGGAAACUGGGUCUAAUACCGGAUAGGAGCCAUUUUUAGUGUGAUGGUUGGAAAGUUUUUUCGGUGUAGGAUGAGCUCGCGGCCUAUCAGCUUGUUGGUGGGGUAAUGGCCUACCAAGGCGGCGACGGGUAGCCGGCCUGGGAGGGUGGACGGCCACAUUGGGACUGAGAUACGGCCCAGACUCCUACGGGAGGCAGCAGGGGGGAAUAUUGCACAAUGGGCGCAAGCCUGAUGCAGCGACGCCGCGUGGGGGAGGACGGCCUUCGGGUUGUAAACUCCUUUCGCUAGGGACGAAGCUUUUUGUGACGGUACCUAGAUAAGAAGCACCGGCUAACUACGUG
RNAcentral lists this ribosomal RNA (465 nucleotides) under uncultured bacterium. RNAcentral describes it as "partial 16S ribosomal RNA". It matches the Rfam family "Bacterial small subunit ribosomal RNA", at positions 28 to 507 of the family's 1533-position model. The record is from RNAcentral.